Molecule: ribosomal RNA, 253 nt
Filed under: uncultured bacterium
Lineage: Bacteria
Description: partial 16S ribosomal RNA
Rfam family: Bacterial small subunit ribosomal RNA
Source: RNAcentral
UACAGGGGGGGCAAGCGUUGUUCGGAAUUACUGGGCGUAAAGGGCUUGUAGGUGGCCAACUAAGUCACACGUGAAAUCCCCAGGCUUAACCUGGGAACUGCGUGUGAUACUGGAUGGCUUGAAUCCGGGAGAGGGAUGCGGAAUUCCAGGUGUAGCGGUGAAAUGCGUAGAUAUCUGGAGGAACACCGGUGGCGAAGGCGGCAUCCUGGACCAAUAGUGACGCUGAGGAGCGAAAGCCAGGGGAGCAAACGGG